UUUUGGUUGCGGGACAUCACCGUGUUGUUGUGUUUUGUCGAGUGAAAACUGCGAUUGUAGCCGGGGCUGCUGUCCAGGAAGUAGGGCGCUGUGCGCUGGUUCUCUUGCCCAUAUAUGGAAGAGGCGGUGACAGAGCACACCUGGUGGGGAUGAGACAGCCUGAGUUAAAGAGCCACACUGGAUCAUCAGCUGGCCUUUCUAACAGAUAUUACCAUCACCUGAACUCUGUCAACCUGCAGCUCCAGGGAAGAGACAAGUUGCCAAGUGACAUGAUGAGGGCAAUCAGAGCUUUCCAGAACAAAAUAACUGCUCUGUGGAGAUCUGACAAAGACCUCACACACUUCCCAGGACUGAAAGAAAAAGCCAAAAGUGAGCGUACUCUGCAGCAGAGCUUCAGCUACAGUGGUUUAGUUGAAGUUUUGGAGCUGAGUGGGGAGUUUGAAUCCAGGUUCAGUGAUGUGAAUGAACAUAAGGGCAUUUUUAAUCUUAGUGAAAAUCCCUUUCAUGUGGAUAUAUCCUCUCUUACACCAACCAUCACACAGCUCUGCCCUAACAGCCGCGCCUCUCUUCAAAGUGAAAUAAUUGAGCUGCGAGCAAAUGACUUUCUCCAAGCUGAACACAGAGCAGGUGUUGGUAACUUCUGGAGCUUGGUUUCUGAAGCAGACUUUGCCAACUUCAAAGCACUCGUACAGAAGCUGAUGUCUUUCUUGGUGAGCACAUACACAUGUGAGUCAACAUUUUCAACCAUGAACAUUAUCAAGAGGAAACAGAGACACAGACUGACCAACGCUCACCUUGAAUGCCUCACUAUAAUCACAACAACAAGCUACAAAUACAACAUGAAGAAGGUUAAGGACAUGCAUGCCAGCUUCUGCUCUUCCCUCUAUUAAGGUAAAUAAACACUUUAAUUAAAGUGUGUUCUGUGGCACUUUGGAUGGAACAUGUUGGGAUUCAUUUUCAAUAAAAUUUUAAUGUAAAAUAUAUUGACUG
Molecule: long non-coding RNA, 990 nt
Organism: Fundulus heteroclitus (mummichog)
Lineage: Eukaryota; Metazoa; Chordata; Actinopteri; Cyprinodontiformes; Fundulidae
Exons: 3
Source: RefSeq, a predicted model, not a curated record